This 259-nucleotide ribosomal RNA is filed under the name Staphylococcus aureus. RNAcentral's name for it is "partial 23S ribosomal RNA". It matches the Rfam family "Bacterial large subunit ribosomal RNA", at positions 2664 to 2925 of the family's 2925-position model. The record is from RNAcentral. Lineage: Bacteria; Bacillati; Bacillota; Bacilli; Caryophanales; Staphylococcaceae.
GAGAGGAGCUGUCCUUAGUACGAGAGGACCGGGAUGGACAUACCUCUGGUGUACCAGUUGUCGUGCCAACGGCAUAGCUGGGUAGCUAUGUGUGGACGGGAUAAGUGCUGAAAGCAUCUAAGCAUGAAGCCCCCCUCAAGAUGAGAUUUCCCAACUUCGGUUAUAAGAUCCCUCAAAGAUGAUGAGGUUAAUAGGUUCGAGGUGGAAGCAUGGUGACAUGUGGAGCUGACGAAUACUAAUCGAUCGAAGACUUAAUCAA